RNAcentral lists this ribosomal RNA (116 nucleotides) under Klebsiella pneumoniae. The record is from RNAcentral. RNAcentral also lists the same sequence under 3 other names. Lineage: Bacteria; Pseudomonadati; Pseudomonadota; Gammaproteobacteria; Enterobacterales; Enterobacteriaceae.
CCUGGCGGCACUAGCGCGGUGGUCCCACCUGACCCCAUGCCGAACUCAGAAGUGAAACGCCGUAGCGCCGAUGGUAGUGUGGGGUCUCCCCAUGUGAGAGUAGGGAACUGCCAGAC